UACGUAGGUGGCGAGCGUUGUCCGGAAUUACUGGGUGUAAAGGGAGCGUAGGCGGGAGUGCAAGUUGACUGUUAAAUCUAUCGGCUCAACCGGUAGCUGCGGUCAAAACUGCAUUUCUUGAGUGAAGUAGAGGCAGGCGGAAUUCCGAGUGUAGCGGUGAAAUGCGUAGAGAUUCGGAGGAACACCAGUGGCGAAGGCGGCCUGCUGGGCUUUAACUGACGCUGAGGCUCGAAAGCGUGGGGAGCAAACAGG
RNAcentral lists this ribosomal RNA (252 nucleotides) under uncultured bacterium. RNAcentral describes it as "partial 16S ribosomal RNA". It matches the Rfam family "Bacterial small subunit ribosomal RNA", at positions 524 to 776 of the family's 1533-position model. The record is from RNAcentral.